UUGCAAUUUUCGGGUUCUGCUUCUACUUCUGCCAGUACUGAAGAAACUAUUGAAGUUGCACCAGCAAGAGCAAGACCUCAAAGGGUGAACCAAGUUAGAAAACAAGAAAGAGUAUGACAGAAUAUGAUCCGCGUCUUGUGGCUCCAACCUGGUUGUACCUGGCAUCAAAAGCAGCAGAAAGCACAGUGCAGGUUGGGCUUCUUGUAUUUUACCUUAAAAAAUUAUAUGCUGAUGAAAAGUAUGACUCAAUUAACUUGGUGCUAUGGGCCAGGUAGUUGCCCAUCAAAGAGGGUCGCAUGGGCUAGAGAAUUGAUAGACGAAGAAGCAGAACAGUUCCUCAUGCCUCGUUUCAUUGACCCAGAUUCAGAAAGACCUUGGCUUGCCCAAAGAAUGGCCUUGACGAUACCAUAUUCUGCGUAAACUUAAUGGAAGGAGACCUGCUUAUGCUUCCCAGCAACUAAUAUAAGAGCUGCAUAAUACGUUUUAUUUUUAAGUCUUUGAUUGGUCAAGUUAUGAGAGAAUAGCAUGGUGCCUUUUGAUGUAUGAACUUCCUCUAUAGAUUGUUUGGCUUAUAUUUUGUGAACUUGUCCGAUCAA
Quercus robur (English oak) is the source of this 596-nucleotide RNA transcript. It is a transcript of the gene named pectinesterase 31-like, with no coding region annotated. The record is from RefSeq and is a predicted model, not a curated record. Lineage: Eukaryota; Viridiplantae; Streptophyta; Magnoliopsida; Fagales; Fagaceae. The transcript is spliced from 4 exons.